This is a long non-coding RNA of Callithrix jacchus (white-tufted-ear marmoset), 748 nucleotides long. RefSeq lists it as uncharacterized. The record is from RefSeq and is a predicted model, not a curated record. NCBI's taxonomy places the organism in Eukaryota, Metazoa, Chordata, Mammalia, Primates, Cebidae.
CAGAAGGCAUGAGCCCCGUGAGAAAGCUGUGAGUAAGCCCUGCAAUCAACAGAAGUGUCAGACCCUCAGCAUCUCAGAUAAAAGACCAGGAUGUACACCACACAGAGCGGCCCUUCUCUGACAGCAGCACAACCUGGGCUCACGGUUCUUUACCAACUGAGAACAGAUGCAAGGAACCAGAGAAAGAUCAAGAGUGGGGCAGGACACAGUUUUCAUUUCUCUUGAAUAGGGAAUGAAAUUGCUGGGUCACAAGCCUCAAGGAGGACAAACUGGAGCAAAAUUACCAGUUAAGAGGUGAGGGUUGCCACUCUUAAACUCUUAGCUGGUCAUCCAAGGGAAGGUGAAGAUAGCCUGGGCUUGAGGGGAGAUAGAAGGAAUAAUCUGGAUUCAAAAAAUACCAGGAGGGAAGACUUCAGGCAUGAGGGAGUGAGGAGAUCAACAAAUCCUCUCCUCAAAAAGCAACUAUAAACGUGGACAAAAAGUCAGUCAUUUCAGGAAAGUAAAUUGAUUUCGGCAAAGACAGCCUGAAUCCAUGGCAUUUUUGCCCAAGGCUGCUUUCAUCUUUCCCUUCCAGAAGUCUGUCAGAUUGCUCAAUCGGGGCAAAAACCAGCAAUGGUGUAUGACUGCUGGGUCAUAUGGGAAGUCUAUGUUUAACUUUACAAUAAACUGUCAAGCUCUCUUCCAAAGUGGCUGUACCAUUUUGCAUUCCCACAAACAGUGAAUGAGAGUUCUUGUUGCUCUGCAUCCU